RNAcentral lists this long non-coding RNA (2866 nucleotides) under Mus musculus (house mouse). RNAcentral describes it as "long non-coding RNA chr1:74307847-74310713". Lineage: Eukaryota; Metazoa; Chordata; Mammalia; Rodentia; Muridae. The record is from RNAcentral.
UCUGCCUAACAGGAUUCACAGUCUUCCAUCCUCCCUAGUGCUUGGACAUUGGGAUUACAGGUGUGUGCAACCACGUCGGGGUCAGGCUCACUUUGACCUUUUGAGUGGACAGGGAUCACAUAUUUGUUUUAUGAAGUACACUGUUGCUUUCUUCAUUGGAUUUCAUGGUUGUGAGCCACUAUGUGGUUGCUGGGAAUUGAACUCAGGACCUCUGGAGGAGCAGCCAGUGCUCUUAUCGGCUGAGCCAUCGUUCCAGCCCCCAGAACACACUAAGAAAGCGCAGCUAGAAAUAGAGUCAGGUGGAGCUGAGCACUCAGGAGCGCUAUGGGAGUUCCUACUCAAAUCUUUAUGUCUCCAGGCACACCCCACCCUUGCCAAGAGCAAUAGUUAGGCAAGAGCUUGCCAGGUAGGCUAGGCUUGCCUAGCCAGCUAGUCCCAAGGGCCUGUCUGCACCUCCCCAAGACAGGGAUUAAAUUUGGACCCUCAUGCUUAUAUUUGGACCCUCUUGCUCUUUACCAACUGUGCCACCUUCCUACCCUGGAGUAAACUUUAAAGGCAGACACAUCAGUAAAGUGCUUCCUGCACAAGCAUGAAAGCCUGAGUUCAGAUCAGCAGCAGCGCAUAAAAGCCAAGUGGAGUAGCACAGGCCUAGAGUCCCACGCUUGUUAUGGAGAUGUCAUGCCAGGAAACGUUCAAGAACUUCAAAAAGACACCAAGGAGCCCAGUCAGAUGCAAUCGCUUUAGGGUCUCUUUAAUCAAGCUUUAGCUUGGGCCACAGGACACACCCCUCCCCCCAGCCCAGUUUCAGGCAAGCAUUUAUAGAGGCAAGAAGGGGGUAUUUAGCCUGGUAUAUAUCAGACUGGGGUCCAUUAUGGCCUUUAACAUAAUUGGCUAGUGUUGGGAGUCAAACCAUAAGCUUAACUUCUGCUUUUCUUCAGAUUGGCGGUUGUUAGGAAGUGAAGUGUCAGGGGCGGGCUUGUAACCUGGAGGUGCAGAUUUGUUGGGGGAAUAACCUGGAAACUGGUGCUAGAUACUGGCCUGUUAGAUAUUGGCCUGUUAGUUAACUUGAGUUCAACCUUGGGUCAGAUUCUCUAAGAUGGAGUCUGAACCCAAAAGAUUUGGUCUCUCAGAGACAGGCCAAACACAAUGAAACAGGUCCCCAAAAAAUGUGUGUGUGUAGAAUAAUAGAGGAAGACACUGGAUAUUGAUCAGGUAAGUAGACCCUACCCCAACACACACAAGCAUACACCACUACACACAAUAAAAUAAGUUGACUAAUGUGCACACGCUCAGACACACUACUCACAUAUGAAGUAUGUGUGUGUGUGUGUAUAGCAAGAUAUAAUUGCAAUGGAAAUUACAUAGGAGGACUGGGCUAGCUCCACUGACCUAACUCCAAUCCUUCCAUGUACUCCUAGUUCGCACUGCCUAUAGUCCUCCUUUUAGGAACCAGAGAAACCAUAGUUCUAUUGCUCAGUCUUGGUCUCCUUGUUGCUGCAGGGAUAGAAUCCUAGGUAAGUUUUUCAGCCUGCAAGAUUUGGCAGGCAGCACCUUUAAUCCCAAUACUCAGGAGGCAGGGACAGGUGGAUCUCUGAGUUCAAGGCCAGCUUGAUCUACAUAGAGAGUUCCAGGACAGCCAAGGCUACACAUAGAUAGACCCUGUCUAAUAUAUGCACUAGCCUCCACUACAUAAGGAAACCAACUAGUGAGGCCUUAGCAAGGCAUCAAGCUUUGGUAAAAAGCCAUUGAUGGAGAGUUUGGGAGGUGACCCACAUCUGUAAUCCAAGCAAACAGAGGCAGAAAAGUCAAGGAGUUCAAGGUCAUCCUAUGCUACAGAGACCAUUCAAGCUGAGGCCUGACUAUGUAGCAGACUGUCUCAAAACAAAGGAACAAGACUCAAAAAUAAAAAGUAAUUCUAUUUUGCAUAAUAAUGCCUUCACUGUCUCAGAAAACAUUUUGGGAUACUUACCCUAAAAAUAAUAUUCAUUGUUUAUCUGGAAUUCAAACUUACUUGGGUGUCUGGCAUUCCUCUGACAAUCCCAUAAUCCUACUGGAACAGAAAGUCAGAUCAGGAAGGGUGGAGAGUGAGAGAUACCAGGCCGAAGUUUAUUUCCUGAAUGGGAGGAAGCCUAAGGGCUGAUGGGGGAGGGGAGGGUCCAGGGAGCCUGACAGGAGUGAGUAAGGAGUGGGAGGCUGGGUCUACACGGUUGUGCUGUGCGCUGCCCACUCCAGAAUCCCUUCCAUAGCUCUGUGACUGCCUAGGCAGCUUUCCUGGAGUUUCCCAGCCCUGUGAGGCUUUGCUGUGUAUCAGCUACCUCACUGAAGGUGCCCUCCUCAGAGGGCUUUCCCACUGGAGACGAGCCUCUUCCCUCUUUUCCAUCACCUGUAGGAGCGGAAGUGCCCUGCAGCUCUUUGCUGGGACAGGAAGACAAUUGUGAACUAUACAAGAGGAGAGGGAAGGUGGGAGUUGGGGGAGGACACAGGUCCUUCCUCCUAUAAAGGAGCCUUGUGGUGUUUUGUUUUGUUUUGUUUUGUUUUUUAAGAUUUAUUUAUUUUAUGUAAGUACACUGUAGCUGUCCUCAGAUACUCCAGAAGAGGGCAUCAGAUUUUGUUACGGAUGGUUGUGAGCCACCAUGUGGUUGUUGGGAUUUGAACUCGGGACCUUCAGAAGAGCAAUCGGCACUCUUAACCACUGAGCCAUCUCGCCAACCCCAGGAGCCUUGUGUUUUAUUCACAAAAAAUACAUUUAAUCCUGGCAGAAGCAGGCAGAUCUCUGAGUCUGAGGUCAGCAUGGUCUGAAGAGCAAGUUCUAAGCAGCUGAGUUACACAGCAAAACCUUGUGGUAGUAGGAGAGGGGUGGAGAAAG